Molecule: ribosomal RNA, 468 nt
Filed under: uncultured bacterium
Lineage: Bacteria
Description: partial 16S ribosomal RNA
Rfam family: Bacterial small subunit ribosomal RNA
Source: RNAcentral
GACGAACGCUGGCGGCGUGCUUAACACAUGCAAGUCGAACGGAAAGGCCCUGCUUUUGUGGGGUGCUCGAGUGGCGAACGGGUGAGUAACACGUGAGUAACCUGCCCUUGACUUUGGGAUAACUUCAGGAAACUGGGGCUAAUACCGGAUAGGAGCUCCUGCUGCAUGUUGGGGGUUGGAAAGUUUCGGCGGUUGGGGAUGGACUCGCGGCUUAUCAGCUUGUUGGUGGGGUAGUGGCUUACCAAGGCUUUGACGGGUAGCCGGCCUGAGAGGGUGACCGGCCACAUUGGGACUGAGAGACGGCCCAGACUCCUACGGGAGGCAGCAGUGGGGAAUAUUGCACAAUGGGCGGAAGCCUGAUGCAGCAACGCCGCGUGCGGGAUGACGGCCUUCGGGUUGUAAACCGCUUUCGCCUGUGACGAAGCGUGAGUGACGGUAAUGGGUAAAGAAGCACCGGCUAACUACGUG